RNAcentral lists this ribosomal RNA (404 nucleotides) under uncultured bacterium. Its description in RNAcentral is "bacterial SSU rRNA". It matches the Rfam family "Bacterial small subunit ribosomal RNA", at positions 355 to 776 of the family's 1533-position model. The record is from RNAcentral.
UCGGGAAUCUUGCGCAAUGGGGGAAACCCUGACGCAGCAAUACCGCGUGCGGGAUGAAGGCCUUCGGGUCGUAAACCGCUUUUCUCGGGGACGAUAAUGACGGUACCCGUGGAAUAAGCCACGGCUAACUACGUGCCAGCAGCCGCGGUAAUACGUAGGUGGCAAGCGUUGUCCGGAUUUACUGGGCGUAAAGCGCGCGCAGGCGGUGAACGAAGUCGAGAGUGAAAGCCCUGGGCUCAACUCAGGAACAGCUCUCGAAACCAGUUCACUUGAAGGCGGAAGGGGGAAGUGGAAUUCCGAGUGUAGUGGUGGAAUGCGUAGAUAUUCGGAAGAACACCAGAGGCGAAGGCGACUUCCUGGUCCGAUCUUGACGCUGAGGCGCGAAAGCUAGGGGAGCAAACGGG